CCUACGGGAGGCAGCAGUGGGGAAUAUUGUGCAAUGGGCGAAAGCCUGACGCAGCGACGCCGCGUGAGGGAUGAAGGUCUUCGGGUCGUAAACCUCUGUCAGCAGGGAAGCAAGGUCACUGUGCUAAUCAGCAGUGAAUUGACGGUACCUGCAAAGGAAGCACCAGCUAACUCCGUGCCAGCAGCCGCGGUAAUACGGAGGGUGCGAGCGUUAAUCGGAAUUACUGGGCUUAAAGCGCUCGUAGGCGGGAUGUCAAGUCAAGGGUGAAAUCCCCGCGCUCAACCUGGGAACUGCCGUUGAAACUGGCAAACUUGAGUGUGUGAGAGGAUAGUGGAAUGCCAGGUGUAGGAGUGAAAUGCGUAGAUAUCUGGAGGAACAUCAGUGGCGAAGGCGACUAUCUGGCACAUAACUGACGCUGAGGAGCGAAAGCGUGGGUAGCAAACAGGAUUAGAUACCCGAGUAGUC
This 465-nucleotide ribosomal RNA is filed under the name uncultured bacterium. Its description in RNAcentral is "partial 16S ribosomal RNA". It matches the Rfam family "Bacterial small subunit ribosomal RNA", at positions 338 to 795 of the family's 1533-position model. The record is from RNAcentral.